AAUGAACGUUGGCGGCGUGGAUUAGGCAUGCAAGUCGAGCGAGAACCCGCAAGGGGGACAGCGGCAAACGGGGUAGUAAUGUGUCGGAACGUGCCCUCUGGACGGGAUAGCGGCGGGAAACUGCCGGUAAUACCCGAUGAACUCGAGAGAGCAAAGGUGUGAUUCCGCCGGAGGAGCGGCCGACAUGGUAUUAGCUAGUUGGCGGGGUAACGGCCCACCAAGGCUGUGAUGCCUAGGGGAUAUGAGAGCAUGAUCCCCACCAUUGGGACUGAGACACUGCCCAGACACCUACGGGUGGCUGCAGUCGAGAAUCUUCGUCAAUGGGCGAAAGCCUGAACGAGCGACGCCGCGUGCGGGAUGAAGGCCCUUGGGUUGUAAACCGCUGUCGAGGGGGAUGAAGGCUUGAAGGUACUCCUUCAAGUUUGACAGAGCCCAGAAGGAAGCACGGGCUAAGUUCGUGCCAGCAGCCGCGGUAAU
RNAcentral lists this ribosomal RNA (477 nucleotides) under uncultured bacterium. RNAcentral describes it as "bacterial SSU rRNA". It matches the Rfam family "Bacterial small subunit ribosomal RNA", at positions 29 to 524 of the family's 1533-position model. The record is from RNAcentral.